Molecule: ribosomal RNA, 253 nt
Filed under: uncultured bacterium
Lineage: Bacteria
Description: partial 16S ribosomal RNA
Rfam family: Bacterial small subunit ribosomal RNA
Source: RNAcentral
UACGGAGGAUGCAAGCGUUAUCCGGAAUGAUUGGGCGUAAAGCGUCCGCAGGUGGCAAUGUAAGUCUGCUGUCAAAGCGUCUGGCUCAACCAGAUAAAGGCAGUGGAAACUACAUAGCUAGAGUAAGGUAGGGGUAGAGGGAAUUCCUGGUGUAGCGGUGAAAUGCGUAGAGAUCGUAAGGAAGACCAGUGGCGAAGGCGGGUCUCUGGACAGUUCCUGACACUGAGGCACGAAGGCCAGGGGAGCAAACGGG